AACGCACCUUGCGCUCCCUGGUAUUCCGGGGAGCACGCCUGUUCGAGUGUCAUGAAACUCUCAAACAAAGUAGAUUUGUUUCUACCUCUGUUUGGAUUUGGACUCUGCUGCGUCAAUGCGGCUGGUCUUAAAUAUAUUAGCUGAUCCUAGCGAAGGUUUGGUUCUACUCAGCAUGAUAAUUAUCUGAUGUUGAGGACAGUCUUAGGACUGGCCAGGCUCUCUAUGGAUUGCUUCUAAUCGUCUUUGGACAAUCAUUCAAUAUCUGACCUCGAAUCAGGUGGGACUACCCGCUGAACUUAA
Molecule: unclassified non-coding RNA, 300 nt
Filed under: Dothideomycetes sp.
Lineage: Eukaryota; Fungi; Ascomycota; Dothideomycetes
Also listed under: 3 other names
Description: partial contains 5.8S ribosomal RNA, internal transcribed spacer 2, and large subunit ribosomal RNA
Source: RNAcentral